This is a long non-coding RNA of Eurytemora carolleeae, 204 nucleotides long. RefSeq lists it as uncharacterized. The transcript is spliced from 2 exons. The record is from RefSeq and is a predicted model, not a curated record. NCBI's taxonomy places the organism in Eukaryota, Metazoa, Arthropoda, Copepoda, Calanoida, Temoridae.
AGGGGUCGAGCACGAGAACAGAAAGCAGAAGAAGAAGGAGGAAUAAGAUACAAGAUUGAGCAGUAUAAGAAUAUGUUACUACUGGCAGAAGAGUUGAACCUUGAACCACCAAAACCUAUUCACCAGUAAAUAAUGGUUUAACAAACGAAAUAUGGAUGUUUAGAAUAACUAUAUAAUAAAUAUAAAUAAUUUGUCCGAUCAUAA